Molecule: long non-coding RNA, 669 nt
Filed under: Malus domestica (apple)
Lineage: Eukaryota; Viridiplantae; Streptophyta; Magnoliopsida; Rosales; Rosaceae
Description: long non-coding RNA (MDOM_LNC020365)
Source: RNAcentral
AAUAUGCAUUCAAAUCAAGAAAAUAUAAUUGUUAAGUUUUUGAAUGAAUGCUAAGUUACAACAAGGCCAGUGGAGUGAUGUCAUAAUUUGAGCAACAAGAUAUGAAUAAAGUCUAUUUGAUAGACUUGAUAGAACAUAGAUGUUACUCGAAAAAAAUUGACAAAACAUAACACGGUCAAUUUUGAAGUAUAGACUUGAAAUUGGACUUAAUGAUAUAGCAAGGCUAUCUCAAGAAUGUUUAAUAGAGAAAUUAAAUCUCAAAUGUUGAAGAUUUGAGAAAGUAUUUUCUUAUAUGAUAGAAAAUCACUUUCAUAACCCUUAUAACGAUAUGUGUCAUAAAAUCACAAAAGGGACACAUGUAUGGACUUGUGAGAUGAUAUCCAAAGGUGAAAAACCACAUGGGUUGUCACUUUAAGAUAUUACUAAAUCCCAGGAUCAGAACCAUAGCAACUGAUAGAGUAUUAUUGCCUUUAAGAAAGGAACAUCAGAGUAGGACUCUGGAAGCGUGCAUUCACUCAGGUUAUUAACCAAAGUGAAAAUAACCCAUUUUAACAAAUGGAACUUCAUAAUGGAUGAAGUACUAAUCAUAUGAAUGUAUUGUAAGUAUUGUACUAUAAUGGUCUCAAGGUUGGAGCAAAGUUUGUAUAAAGUAUACAAACGAAAUAUAUG